Molecule: ribosomal RNA, 609 nt
Filed under: Steinernema websteri
Lineage: Eukaryota; Metazoa; Nematoda; Chromadorea; Rhabditida; Steinernematidae
Description: SSU rRNA
Rfam family: Eukaryotic small subunit ribosomal RNA
Source: RNAcentral
UACCGCCACUAGCGAUUCGUCGAUGGUAAUUUUGCCUUGAUGAGGAGCUAAUCGGAAACGAAAGUCUNCCGGUUCCGGGGGAAGUAUGGUUGCAAAGCUGAAACUUAAAGAAAUUGACGGAAGGGCACCACCAGGAGUGGAGCCUGCGGCUUAAUUUGACUCAACACGGGAAAACUCACCCGGCCCGGACACUGUAAGGAUUGACAGAUUGAAAGCUCUUUCUUGAUUCGGUGGAUGGUGGUGCAUGGCCGUUCUUAGUUGGUGGAUUGAUUUGUCUGGUUUAUUCCGAUUAACGAGCGAGACUCUAAUCUAUUAAAUAGAUGUCUUUAUUCUUUCGGGAGUGAAGCAUUCUUCUUAGAGAGACAAACAACGUUUAGUUGUACGAAAGAGAGCAAUAACAGGUCUGUGAUGCCCUUAGAUGUUCGGGGCUGCACGCGCGCUACACUGAAGAAAUCAACGUGUACGCUUCCAUUUUCGAGAGGAAUUGGUAAUCCUUUGAAAACUUUUCGUGCUUGGGAUAGUGAAUUGCUAUUAUUUCACUUAAACGAGGAAUUCCUAGUAAGUGCAAGUCAUCAACUUGCGUUGAUUACGUCCCUGCCCCUUUGUAAG